Molecule: long non-coding RNA, 589 nt
Organism: Malaclemys terrapin pileata
Lineage: Eukaryota; Metazoa; Chordata; Testudines; Emydidae
Exons: 3
Source: RefSeq, a predicted model, not a curated record
CGCCACUGACUGAGCUGUGUCCAUUGUCAUGGGCAGACAUGUAACCACUGAGCCAGGGCAUUAGCACCGUGCUUUGUCAGCAAUAAACCUGGCUGGGUGCCUUCGCUACUAAACCAAGUCUUGUGGUCUUAUUGGGCAGUUUGAUUGGAGCCUGCUGUACCGGCUAUCUGGCCAGAGCCAGUGCAUCGCACAGAAAUAACACAUGCACGUAGCCAAACCUCUGACGACAGGAUGGCUGAGCCAGAUUCUUAUCAGCCAGAAGUCAAAAGGAGAAUGCUAGACAGCGAAGAAAUAAAGUGGGAAUGAAAAGGAUACAUGUCUUUCAUCCCAGGUGGUGUUCGUGGAGGUGGUAAUGCCAGCAGGGUCACUCCCUCUUUGGUGUGGGCUGGCCAGGACAUCUCUCAGAAUCAGGACAACGAAGGCACAAUGAUGUCACGCUGGAUCCCCUGGUCCCAGGAAAAGCCCUGCACAGACUGAGGAUUUCGGUGUUUACAGCAUUGCCCAUCUAUCUGUCCCACAAGUGCUGUCCAUCUGGCACCAUGGCCCUAACUGGACUUAGAAAGAGACUCCAAUAAUCACCCCACGAAAG